GACGAACGCUGGCGGCGUGCUUAACACAUGCAAGUCGAACGGUGAAGCGCCUUCCUUUUUGGUGGGUGUGGAUGAGUGGCGAACGGGUGAGUAACACGUGAGUAACCUGCCCCCUUCUUCUGGAUAACCGCAUGAAAGUGUGGCUAAUACGGGAUAUUCUGGGUCUGUCGCAUGAUGGGUCUGGGAAAGAUAUUGUUUCGGUGGGGGAUGGGCUCGCGGCCUAUCAGCUUGUUGGUGGGGUGAUGGCCUACCAAGGCGGUGACGGGUAGCCGGCCUGAGAGGGUGGACGGUCACACUGGGACUGAGACACGGCCCAGACUCCUACGGGAGGCAGCAGUGGGGAAUAUUGGACAAUGGGCGCAAGCCUGAUGCAGCGACGCCGCGUGAGGGAUGGAGGCCUUCGGGUUGUGAACCUCUUUCGCCAGUGAAGCAGGCCUGCCUAGUUUGUGGGUGGGUUGACGGUAGCUGGAUAAGAAGCGCCGGCUAACUACGUG
This 494-nucleotide ribosomal RNA is filed under the name uncultured bacterium. Its description in RNAcentral is "partial 16S ribosomal RNA". It matches the Rfam family "Bacterial small subunit ribosomal RNA", at positions 28 to 507 of the family's 1533-position model. The record is from RNAcentral.